UCGAACGCGGUUACCCCGCAAGGGGUAACUGAGUGGCGAACGGGUGAGUAACACGUGGGUGACCUACCUUCGAAUGGGGGAUAACGUCCCGAAAGGGACGCUAAUACCGCAUAACAUCCUGUCCUUGAACGGAUGGCGAUCAAAGCCGGGGAUCGUAAGACCUGGCGUUUGAAGAGGGGCCCGCGUCCGAUUAGCUAGUUGGUGAGGUAACGGCUCACCAAGGCGACGAUCGGUAGCCGGCCUAAGAGGGCGGACGGCCACACUGGGACUGAGACACGGCCCAGACUCCUACGGGAGGCAGCAGUGGGGAAUUGUUCGCAAUGGGCGCAAGCCUGACGACGCAACGCCGCGUGGAGGAUGAAGGUCUUCGGAUUGUAAACUCCUGUUGCCUGGGACGAAUGGCUCCAACCUAAUACGUUGGGGUGUGACGGUACCGGGUGAGGAAGCCCCGGCUAACUCUGUGCCAGCAGCCGCGGUAAUACAGAGGGGGCAAGCGUUGUUCGGAAUUACUGGGCGUAAAGGGCGCGUAGGCGGCCUUUUAAGUCGAACGUGAAAUCCCCGGGCUCAACCCGGGAACUGCGUCCGAGACUGGAAGGCUCGAAUCCGGGAGAGGGAUGUGGAAUUCCAGGUGUAGCGGUGAAAUGCGUAGAUAUCUGGAGGAACAUCGGUGGCGAAGGCGGCAUCCUGGAUCGGUAUUGACGCUGAGGCGCGAAAGCCAGGGGAGCAAACGGGAUUAGAUACCCCGGUAGUCCUGGCCCUAA
This 761-nucleotide ribosomal RNA is filed under the name uncultured bacterium. Its description in RNAcentral is "bacterial SSU rRNA". It matches the Rfam family "Bacterial small subunit ribosomal RNA", at positions 62 to 805 of the family's 1533-position model. The record is from RNAcentral.